GGUUUUAUAGGUUCUUCUUCUUCUUCAACAGCAUGCUCUCUUUCUCUCUGUCUCUCUCAUACUUCUCUUUGUGUUUGAUUAUCUUAGUGUCUGGAUUCAUGUGUGCAUGACAUUAUGUUAGGUUUUACAACUUAGGUGGCUCAUUUGUAGUUUGAAAUAGAUAGGCUGUUCAAUGUUUCAUCAUAUAAUAAAAGUUUGAUUGGAUCUUUGAUUUAAUCAAGCUCAAUCUAUAAUAUAUCAUACUUUUUUUUUUUUUUGGUGAGAUCUAUUGAACUACUACACUAUUGUAUGAUAUUUUCAAGCCAAUAACAUAUAGUUGUUAUUCGAAAUCUCAUUUUUCCUUCUAUAAAAAAAGAAAGAAAGAAAGAAAGAAAAAGAAAAAAGUUCUGAUUGACAAUUGCAGAAACCUUGACUCUUAUUAGAGUUGAUUUUUAAGUGUUACAGCACCAUUGGAUUUUUGUUGAUCUUUAGGAGUUCAUUUUGAGAAUAUUUCAAAUUCUGGCUUCCCUAUGUACUUUAUUGUAAUUACCAAAUAGAAGGUGUUCAAAACUUUUUUUUUUUCCUUUGUUAAUUAUUUUUUGUAAUAAAAGAAACAAGCUUAAAGUUUGCUCGUGGAAGGUUCCUUUUUGCGGGAGGUUGGCCAUGUGGAAGAUGAGAUGUCUACACAUAGGGGAGCAGAGCAGGUUGAAAGGUCAGAGGGAGUUGGAGAGUAUGUUAGUGGGUCCUUGAAGGGUCUAUCAAGUAGAGCUGCCUUGGAAAUUCUUGAAGAAUUUUGAAAUUUGCUUGAGACCUGGGAAUUUUGAAAAAGUAGAACUACAUCUCUCAACUUCUCAAGUACCUUGGGUAGACCGUUCCUCUAAGUAUUACAUUCUAUAGUGUUGCACAUGCACAAAAUGAGUGGUUAUGCCAUAUAUGAAAUGAAAUUUUUAUGAACAAAGUUAAUACGAAAAAAAAAAUUCUUCCACUUCCUCAUUAUGAGCAUCAUCUCAAUGAUUUCAGUAAUUAAAGAAUUCCUUACAAAACGUUAACCAUCUCCUUAUUCAUUGUACAGUGGCUAGUGUGUUGUGGGGGAUUGUUCUUAGUCUGUUUGGAGCCUAGUGGGUCUUUCCAGAAACUGUAAAGGAGGCGGUUAUCAGCUGGAAGGGUUUUUUUGUGGGUAAAAAGAGGGAGAAAAUUUGGAGAUCCAUACUGUUAUUUAUUUUUUGGACGGUUUGGAAGGAGAUGAAUAGAUUAGCAUUCAGGGGGGGGGGGGGGGAGUUAGCUAUACAGAAAGUUAAAAAUUCUUUUGUUUGUAAUUUGUGGGGGUGGGCAAAAUUGUAUAAUGGUGCGGAGCCUCGUUCCCUUAUAGGUUUCCUGGAGUGGAUAGCCUCCAGUUAAGGGUUGGUGGGUUUUUUUUGCUUCUUUUGGUUGUUGUUGUGAGGUCUUCGUCGCCUCGUAUACUACCUGUAUGCUAUGCGGCACUUUGCCUUUUGCUAAUAUAUGUGUUUACUUAUCGAAAAAAAAAAAAUUAAAGAAUUCCUUACACCUCCUUCAUUACUGUGCUAGCUGGAUCUCCUUGUUCCACAUGUCACGGAGACCCAAACUGAUAAAAUCAAUUUAUUUUCCUUUUGUGAAGGUAAAAAGAUACAUAAAUCCUAGAACAAUUAAUGUCAACCAUAGUAAUCUGUUUUAGUCUUGCCAUACCCAUCUCAAUCUCUCUCUCUCUCUCUCUCUCUCUCUCUCUCUCUCCCUAUCUUGCUCACACACAGGCACAUAAUUUUCUCUAUAUUAGGUAGUUUUAGAUUUUAGAUUCAUCCAUGCUUGAUUUUGUGUUAGGGUUUUUUAUUUUGAUAAUGAAAAUUGGGUUUUGUUCUUUUCAAUUUAUUUUCCUUUUUGUGAAGGUAAAAAGAUAUAUAAAUCCUAGAACAAUUAACGUCAACCACAGUAAUUUGAUUUUAGCCUUGCAAUACCCAUCUGUCUCUCUCUCUCUCUCUCUCUCUCUCUCACAUGCACACAUGCUUUUUUCUCUCUGUUCAAUUGGUUUUAGAUUUCAGAUUCAUGCAUGCUUGCUUUUAUGUUAGGAUUUUUUAUUUUGAGAAUUCAAAUUGGAUUUCAUUCUUUGUUUCAUAUAGGAAAUUUUUUUAUUGAAUUGUGUCUUGAUCAGAAAUUAUAUAACUUCAUACUUAUUUUGUGUUGUGGCUGAUGAAGUGAGCUCCUUGUCCAUGUGCUUGAUUUUAUAUUAGGAUUUUUUUAGUUUGAGAAUUAAAAUUGGCUUGUCUGUUCUUUUGUCAUUUAGGUAAACUUUGAUUGAAUAAUGUUUUUAUCUGAUGUGCUUUAAUUUCAUGCUUAUUUGUAUUAUGGCAGAAUAAAUUGAGUCCAUUUGAUACACUAUUUAUUCAGAAAAUGAUAUCAGAUUGUAAAUUUUCCUUAUAUGUACUUUCUGAAAGUCUUUUUUUUUUUUUUGGAGGAUUUUGUAUUUCCUGGAAGGAUUUCUCAUCCUUCAUUAUACUUACUAUUUUAAUUCAAUGAAAUCUUUGUUUUGGAUCAAACAAUUGUCCUUAUGUUUAAACAUAUCAUGAAAGAAAGCUUUUAUGUGACAGUUCGGUGGACAAUUAUGUUUCUUACCUAAGUUGUUUUUAAUUCAAUUUCUGUUGAUAAUAAUUUAUUCAAUAUUUAGUUGGUAGCAUUAAUUUGACCAUGAAACCUAAUAAAUGUCACAAAACCACCUCAAGUCAAGAGCAUAAACCCAAUUUCCUUGUAGUCCUCUUUUCUUGGCUUAAAUAUCUACAAGCACAUGUUUAAUAAUUGAUGGAGGACGUUUAGCUUAUAAAUCCGUCAACAAUAAAUAAUAUAAUGUUUAAAAUACUGAAUCUCUCUCUCUCUCUAAGUCAUGAAUGAAUUAGAUCAUUUUUUUCCCCUUAAAAUGUUUCCAAAUCGGGUGAUACAUCACAAUCUUGUCAGGUGAUGCUCGACAACUAAUCAAUAGAAAAUGGCCUUAAGCACAUGAUGAUAACCCUCUCUUGGAUAAUGUUGGGCCCUUCUUGCUGUUCCCUUGGUUUUCCUCUUAUGUGAAACACCACAAAUAACCCUUUCUUAUAUAAAGCUAGAUUGAAAGAACAAAAAACUAUACAUUCUUUGAUGUUAUGCAUUGCAUAUGACACUUACUCUCAUACUAGUAGUAGUGCUAUAUAUAAAAAAACCAAUACUAAAUUUAUUUCUUAGUCCUUCUGUAAAUGGUCAACAUUUCAACAAUUCAAUUGAAAUUUAAAAAAAAAAUGUGAAGAAAAACAUUUUUUGCAAGGUCCUUAGUUCUCAAACCCUGAAAUUGACCCCCUCAACUUGUGGGAUUGGCUGGAUCACUUUGUUUUACAUUAGAAGAUUGAUAAUUUCCUUUGUCUUUUUAAUUAAUCUAAAAAGAUUGUUGCCUAGAAUAAUUGAUAUUAAUUGCAUCCAUCUCUCAAUAUUCAUCUCUCUCUCUCUCUAUCUAUCUGUCUCAAUCAUCUCCUUGAUGUUUCUCAGAUUCUUUCCAAGUGAUACAUUAUAUUAUCUUUGUGUGUGCGAAUGCUUCAUAUGUGCUGUCAUCUCUUGUGGUAAUAAAAAGAAAAAUAAGUAUUGCUUCACCUACAGAGGGUUUUUUUUAAUUAAAAAAAAGAUUUACUAAUUGAUUAGUUUCCUUUUUUCAUGUUAAACUACCAUGUCAAUGAUUUUGUAGAUAAAAAACUGCCCCGAAAAAACUGUUGGCAUACAAAUAUUCAGGACCAUCCCUAGCCUGGCCUUGAACCCCACCUUUUCAUGUGUGCCCCGGCAGGAUCUCCUUUGAAACACACCUGUGUACACUUAGGUAGAAAUCCAUAUUAAGGUAAAACCUCAUCAAUGCUAAAAUGUUGAAAUUCAUCCAUUGAUUCCUUUUGAGCUUCCCAAUGUCCAUCUCUCUUUCUUUCUCUCCCCCCCCCCCCCCCCCCUCUUUCUCUCUCUCUCACACACACAUAUUCAUAUUUUCCUCUCUAUCUGAUGAUAUUUGAUUGUUUCCUUUGGACUCAUGCAUGCAUUUUGUUAUGUUAGCUUUGUAACACUGGUACAAUAUAAUAUCAAAACACUGUUUCUGCUGUGACUUACACAUGGUUUAGUUUGUGAAUCACUGGAAUACUUACACUGCUAUAUAAACUAUUAGUCAUUAGUUUAUUUAUAUGUUCUUUGAAGUUGAUCUGAAGUUUUCCUAAUUUGACCAGUUGUUCCUGUUCAAUAUGAACUUGGAAAGUGAUAAGUUUCAAAUACGGGGAAACCCUGGAAUUAUAAAUGGGCAAUCCUGGCAUCUGAGAAGAUCUCUUAUAGACUGGUAUGGUGUAAAAAUGUUUUGACUUGCAUAAUCUUUAAGCAGAUUUAUAAUGGCUAAGACUCAGACAAGGAUGCUUGAAUAAAUUGUGCACUUCUAGAGCAGAAUAUGAGACUAACAGGAGAUGCUUUAGGAUAUGCACUCUGAGAGUACCUAAAAUCACACAUCCAUACAUUCUAGUUCAUGCAUCUCAUUUUGGAAUUGUGCUUCCUAUUAUCACAAGCACGAAUCUAAAAUUAUCAUUUUUUAGAGGUCUGCAUUUGUUUCGCUAGAUUGGGGAAAUUCUGAAGCAGAUUUUUGUUUAGCCUAGGGAGGAGGCAGUACUUUAGAGGAACACUAAGGGAAUUCUGGGCCCUAUUCUUAGGACAUGCUUUUCUUAUUUUGUUUUGUGGUUUAUUGGCUUUUUUUGCCCUUUAUUUUUCUCUCUAAAGGGAUAUUAUCUUGUUGUCUUUUUCUUGAUAUAUAUAUAUAUAUAUAUAUAGAUAUAUAGAUAUAUAGAUAUAUAUAUAUAUAUAGAUAUAUAGAUAUAUAGAUAUAUAUUUGGCAAAUAAUUGAUAGAAGGGUUUUGAACAAUUGAAAGGCAAUAGUUGAUGUCCCUUUUGGAGUGAUCUAGAGUCUGGUUUAGGAAUGGUUAAUUGCUCUUUGCUUGAUUUCAUUGAUGACUUAAGUAGAAGAUAUUUGGUUUUUGUAUAGUUUCCUAUUUUCAUUUGCAUUGUGGUUCCCAUUGUGUACUUCCAGUUUAUGUUGUGUGCACGAACCGUUUUGCUAGGCUCCAUUUAAUAUAUCUGCAUUUGCCUAUUAAAGAAAGAAAGGCAAUCAUGAAUGUACUCAAUCUUGACAAUCUGGAAGGAAAGAAACAACAUAUCUUUUGAUAAUUAAAAGAACUCUAUUCAUAGACUAAAACAUUCCUUUGUAAUAUUUGGACUUGGUCUAAGUUGUUUUUAGUUUUUAGUCCCCCCCAUCUGUAGUAGAUUUUGUGGACUGGUUGGGCUUGUUGUGAGAAGGGCAUUGUUUUUUGUUGCCCCUCUAUUUUGGAGGUGCGUUGAGGCAGUUGUUGUAUGUGCUCUGUGUACUUUGGGGCGCUUUGUAUGCAUCUUUUGUUUAUGAUAUUCCCUUGCUUUACUCAUCAAAUAUAUAUCUUGAAGGCCAAUUUCAUUAUUUUUGACAAUUCUCAAAGCCUAUCUUUUGAGUGUUUGUUCUCUUUUGAUGUUGUGUCAUCACAUCCAUAUUUGGAACGCUUCUUUCAUACUAGUUAAUCAUACUCCCAUCCAAUGUUUUAAAAGGCUAUUGAGCCUCAAGGUGAGGCUUUGAAAAUUAGCCAUGAGGCUAUAGCCUCAAUUAAGGUAAUUAAGGCUUAAGCCUUACCAUGUCGAGGCUUAAGCCUCAUAGGUGCCUCAAGGUUAUUGAGGCCUAAACCUCAAAUAUCCUAAAGGUUUUCGGUCAUUGUGGCCUUUUGAUAUAUAUUUUCUAAUAGGCUUAAGCCUCAAUAUUCAAUGAGUUGUGAUGGGAUAUAUUAUCAUCUAUGAUUUUGUGGGCUUUUAAUAUAUAGAUUUUUUGAGUUUUGUAUUGGUUUCCCACAUGGUUAAACCUUUUUCAAAAUAAAACCUUAAUUGACUUUCAAUUAACCUUUUAAAUGAAAGGGAAAAAGAGAGUUUGAGAAGAAAGAAUAGAGAAAUUGUUACCAAAAAAAAUAGUAAAACUAUUGAUUGUCCUGGUGUUUGAUUUCAUAUAUAUAGAUGUAAUUUUAUUAUUAAUAGAUCAGAAAAAAUAAUGAAGAAGAAGACUAGGUGGAUAUUUUUUUUUUUUGAUAAGUAUGAAGACUAGGUGGAUAUUAACACUAAUUGGGAGGAUGAUAUAGCAAUUAGAUAUGAUUAUAUCCCUUGGAGGAUCCUACUAGUGAUAGUGAUAGUAAUGUUAAAAAUUAUUUGAUGAAACUAUGACAGAAGGUAAAAUGUUAGAAGAGAGAAAAAAUGAACUAAAUUAGAAACUAUUAACAAAAUAACAAAGAAGAAGACUUGGUGGAUAAUAUAACAAUUAGAUAUGAUGAUAUUCCUUGGAGGAUCUUACUAGUGAUAGUGCUUAGUGAUAGUAAUGUUGAAAAUUAUUUAAUGAAACUAUGAGAAAGGGUCAAAAUGUUAGAAGAGAGAAAAAAGAAACUGAAUUAGAAGCUAUUAACAAUGACAAAUAAUUAAUUUUAUUAUUAUGAAGUUUAUGUUUUCAUUUUUAUUUUUUAUUUUUCAAUUUUCUUCUGAAUUUAUGAGUACUUUUCUGAUUUUUUUGAUAAUUUAUUUAUUAUUUAGUUGUUUAAGUUGAGUCUUAUACCUCGUUUUGCCUUGAGGCUUAUGCCUCCCCUCACUUGGGCAAAACACCUCAAGACCUCCUUUAGCCAUUUAAAACAUUGCUCCCUUUUUUUCAUUAUGUCAUGCUUGAUUAGUAAGAUAAAAAUGAUACUUAGGUGAUUUGUUUUUUUAACUUAAGUCUUAAAACCAGUUGUUUUAAGAUUUAAGAUAAGUAAAAAGAAUUGCCUUUUCCAUUAAGACAAAAUUGUUUUUGAAAAAAUGAUAGGUUAAAAAACAAACAAUUUUAAAAAUGACUUAGGUCUUUCUGAUAAAAGAAAAAUGACUUUAAGUCUUAAAGCAACUUGCUUUAAGACUUCAGGCAGAAAAAAUAAAGAUAAAAUAAAAAAUUUAAUACUCAGUACUAUUAAGUACUAUUUAGAUUUAAGACCAAAAAAAAAAAAAAAUAGUCACCCUAGACAAUGCUUUCAAUCAACUUCUUUAUGUACCCUUUCUUUUUGGUUAGCAACUUCACAUAUAAAUUUAGGACCAGAAUAAACUCUGUUUAGAUCAAAUGUUGCUUCUUAUUAGGCUAGACAAGUGAUUUGUGAUUUGCUAAAGAAACUUUAUGUGGUAUGGAAGCAUUGCCUAGAUAAGUUGUGUGAAAUCAUUUUCUGUUUCUCUUGUAUUGUUAUAUGAGUUUUUGGUUGGGAAGUAAACAUACAACAUAUUUCUCUGGUUUUGUAUGCCAGGAUUAGGGAUUUGCUACAAUACAUUCUCUUGAGUAUAAAUGCUAGGUGUCUGUUUGAAAAGGAACUGAUUUACUAAGAUUCCCUUGAAAAGAAAAUGAUACUGUCUGUUUUUGUGAUGGUAGAGACAUGGAUUAUAGUGUUGAAUAAACAUGGGCUAUUUGGACUUUGGAGCUUAAUCCAUUUUCAUGACUUAUUUUAAUUGUUAAGGUUGUUUUCAGAAUUGCUUUGAAAAAGCAAAAUUACACUCUCAAUUAACAGGGGUUGGCUGUAUCCCAUCUUGUUAUACCUUCAUGCCCAUAAAGGCCAAAAAAAUAAAAAACUUUUUGCUUAUUCAAUGAUGUGAAAACAUUAAGAAAACUAGCUAGCCCCUUUCUGCUACAUCUCUCUCUCUCUCUCCCCCUCUCCCUCUUACACACACACACACAUUCAUUCAUGAAGAUCAUUUGUUGCUUCUUUUGAUGUUGAUUUAUGCUUCAUCAACAUCACAAAGGUAUUCAUCUCCUAUAUCCUUAUGGUAUGCAUAUAUACUUUGGUACCGCUGUGCUAUUGUGAACUGAUUGGCAAAUCAUUAUGUUAAAGUUUCUCUUCAUUCUGAUGUUUUGUAUGAAGAAUGCUAUGUAUGCCUAGAUAAUGUGAUGAUAUGUUUGUGCUAUUGUGGAGAAUUGAAUGGCAAUUCUUGGUCUUGAACAUAAUCUCACACCUGUGUGGUUUGCUCUCAUGAUGAUGCUAUUUGUCAAAACUGAGAAAUUAAUUAUUUCUUUCUAACAGUAAAAGAACAUUUCAUCCUUGUCCUUGAAUCCCCAGGAGAUGUCUCCAGCAUCCAGAUCUAAGUCCAAAGACAGAAGGGUGGGCAAGGAACCACCGAAAGCUUCUUCAAAGUCUUCAGGACCCGCCAAUGCUGGCAGUAGUAUCCCAGCCAGUGCAUAUGAUCCAGUUUUAGGAACAUUCCAUGGCCUUGAACCAACACCAGUGACAUCUGCCCCACCUCUUCAAAGUAAUGGCCGUUUUCGUAGCAUAGAUGAAACCGAUGACAAUUGUGGGAGCUCACUUGGUACGGGAGGUGAAUAUGAUGCUGCUUCCAAUAAUGGUAGCUGGUCUGGUGAGUCUGAAGAUCAUAAAGAAAAAGCAUCUAAUCCACCUGUCCGACAGGAGGCAAUACCAGGAGCUGACAAUGACAAAAGAGAAAAAAUCCGUCAGAAGAAUGAGAGGAAGCAUCAGCGUCAGAAGGAGAGGAGAGCCCAGGAACUGCAUGAGCGAUGCAGUGGCUAUCUGAUGUCGAGAAAACUAGAAGCACUUGCCCAACAGCUUGUGGCAAUGGGGUUUACUUCUGAACGUGCUACAAUGGCUCUCAUAUUAAAUGAAGGCAGAGUAGAAGAAUCAGUUUCGUGGCUGUUUGAAGGGGGUGAAGAAGCAGAUAAACACAAGAGUGAAAACCUUGAUGGUGGGAAUAAUUUGAAAAUUGACAUAGCAGAAGAGCUUGCUCAGAUUACAGGCCUAGAGAUGAGGUACAAGUGCUCAAAGCAGGAAGUUGAAAGGGCUAUAGUUGCCUCUGAGGGUGAUCUUGCGAAGGCAGAAGAAACCUUAAGGGCACAGAGGCAAGACCCACCUUCCACUCCACCAAACUCAGAAGAAACUGAUGAUCCACCAACCAUUACUAAUGGUAAGCUUCCAGUAGCUGUUAGCCAGAACCCUUUGAGGCAAUCAACACAGUCCAAUUCAUCUUCUACAAUACAACAAAGGAGAGAUGAAAAAGACUUCAACUAUACAAAAUCACCUGCUACUAUAGGGACAUCUUCCGAACCUGGAAGUAAAAAUGUGCAACCUUUGAAGGGAACGCAACCUAAGUUGGAGUGGGCAAGACAACAACAAAUAGUAAUGCAGGAAGACAAAAGGUUGCUGACUGCUGGGUCAAAUUCUUCCCAUUCAUACACAAUGGCUUCACCCCUUCAGGUGUCACAGCCACCAGCCAAGACGGAGACCCGUUUUGCUGCUGUUGGGAAUGAAUUUAAGAACCUACAGCCAGGACCAGUUAGGGAACCAGUUAUUGUCAUGCAGCGGCCCCAAUCUAUCAAUUUAAAGCAUGUCUCUUCUACAAGCAUGAACUCAUCCCCUCCAGGAACAGCAGCUGGUUGGUAUCAUAGUAAUUUUGAAAUUGCCAAGUCCAAUGGGUUGUCACCCAACAUCCCUAGCACCAGAAACCUCAACCUGAAUGAUCUUAGUGCAAAUCAGUUGUACCACCAACAUCAUUAUCAAACACAUCAACAACUCAUGUCCGGUUCAAGCCCAGCAGAGUCCCCAGGAACUCACCGGGGAAAUGGUUCACGGAGCAGAAUGAGUACAUCUCCAAGCCUUGCUGCUGCCUCCUCCCUUGGACUUUUCUCUGGAUUGGGUUCAACUGUCUCGUCAGGGUCCUCCUCUCCUGUAGACUGGAGCACUGGUGGCCAAAUGCAACUGUUAGACUACACGAGCAUAGAUUGGACGUUGGAUCGGAAUUUGUCUAAUGGGAGACCCAGUGGGGGAUUGUGGCAAGGGAUGGCUUCUCUGGUGAACAACAAUGCUUACAUGCAUGAUUCAAAUGCAUCAGUAGUUGUUGGUAAUCCUACCAUGAGAAUCAUUCCUCCCAAUGGGCCUGGAAUCCCAAUUCCAGGCCUGCAGGGCGGUGGAUCUGCUAAUGCCGAAGCAUCCGCUGGUAGCUCUCGAGAGUGGACUUCUCCUUUCGAAGAGAGAGACCUUUUUAGCUUGCCCAGAAGGUUUGUUUUUUCGCCUACUCUGUAGAGAGGAUGAGUGGGAGGGAGGGGUCUAGAAGAAUAACAUGAAAAAAAAAAAAAAAAAUGUGCUUGGAUUUGAUAUGUUGAUGUCGUUCUUGUAAUGCAGUCGUGUCGUGUAUUGGUGGACAAUCUUUUAAAUGCAAAGAAAGCUUCUAAGAGUCCUUUGGUUGAUAGGUCUCUUUCACUACUUGAUGCUUUUAUUUGGUGUGGAGGGAUGUGGUGGCGAAUGCCAUCUUCUGUGUAAUGCAUUUUUUCAGCCAUCACUUUUAAAGCCAAUUGGUCUUCUCAGUAUAUAUGAGACAGACAAAAGCUCAAUCAGAAUUAAAUAAAUAAAUAAAUUAUCAUAAGUUUUUUUACGUGGUUGUUUUUGGGCUCAUUUUUCAUCCAUUUGUUACCAGAAGGAAGUGCGCCGGAGGUAAUGCAAAAUUCAAUCAAUUUUUCCUAUUAUCAUUUAAAUAAAUUUUCAAAAUUAUCUCAUGAUAAAUCUGGGUUUUAUAGUGAAAAGUGUGUUGGAAUACAAUUCAGAAAAUGUUGGAGAAGAUGAAAUGUUUUAUGUUUUGAGUAUUUUUUAAAAAUAAUUUUUAUAUGUAAUAUUUUAUUUUUAAUUAUGGUUCAUAUUUAUAUAAUUAUUUUUUUAAAAUAAAUAAAAAUAAUUUUUAAUGUAUAAGGGCAAGUGUUCAAGUCUUUGGGCUUGGAUCUGAUUUUUAAUUUUAAAACAAAAUAAUGAAGAGAGUGAGGAGCCACACCCACAGAUGAAAGGUUGGGUGGGCCACAUUUAUCCAUCAAAUUUCCAACUGAAUCUCCAUCUCAACUCACCACUCCAACCUCUGCACUCUAUACGGGACACAACAGAACAGAAAGGCAGAAACAGCACAGAGGAGACGAGGAGUGGGCACAUAUACUUACAUAUGUGUUCAUGGCUCUUUCGACUCCUCCAAUUCUAAUCACUCCCAGAAGCCACCACCCGUUCUCCUUUCCAACAGCUCAUCACCCAUCAAAACAAGCACCCUUCUCCUCCUCUUCCUCCUUCAUCUCCAGGUCACUUCAACCCCUCCGCCUCCUCUCUCCUCCUACAACAACCUUCCACUUCAAGUGCUUCUCCAAAGCCCAAAGGCAGUCAGACGACCAAGUUGAGUUUGAGAGGCUCUUCUCUAACCUCAAUCAAGCCACCCUCAAGAGGGAACCUGGUAUUUCUUUCUUCAAUUAAGGUUUUCGGUUUUAAUUUUUUUUUUUCAUUGCAAUGCUGCUGUUAUUGAUGAUGGGUUUCUUUUCGACUGUUACCAGGAAGCCUCAGUAGUGCCAUUUUUCUUGUUGCUGGCACCACGGUAUGCUUUUCCCUUUUCAGUUUUGCAUGCAACAGCAUGUGGGUAUAGGUAGACUUUGAGAAUUCUUCAUCUUUAAUAGCUCUAGCUCUAAGGAAUAAUUUUGGAAGAGCAAAAAUGAUGAGUUUGUGACAUAAUGAUCUGUUUGGUAGUGGGAAAUAGAAUGCUUUCUGUGUUUGCAAGAAUAUGGAUGAUGACAUGAUUGAAGUUCAUUUUUGAAGGGAAUUUCUAAAAGUAGGUAAUAUUUAGGAAACUCCAAAGAGAUGUUUUGCAAUCAAAAAACAGAAAAUAAUUCGACAUGAUGUUUUUCUUCAAGAACAUAUUUUAGUUAUUUUUCCUUAUUUUCUGAGGACCAUUUUUAAAAAAAUAAUGAGAUAAAUACAAAGAAUAAUUGAAAAUAAAGUAUCACAUAUAAAAUUUAUUUUAAAAAAUUGGAAACAUAAAAAACAAGUUGAAAAGUCUCCCGGUUCUCAAACAAACUUUUGUACUAAAAAACAUCAUAGAACUGUUUUUAAAAACUAUUAUAAAAAUCUACUUUCCCAUAACAAUUUGCAAAAGCCUGUUUUUGAGAGCAUUUAACAAACAGGCCAUAAGACAUUGUUUUUCACAUUUUCAAGAUGCAAGCAAUUUGCCAAUUGAAAACAAUCUGAACUCAAAGAUGUCUAUGCUUUUCACUUUUGAAAAUGAAAACAUUUUAUUUAAAAACUGUUUCUGUUUCUGGAUCAAGAUGCUUUUGUGAAAGAGGAUGCAGGAAGAGCUUUUCAACUCCCUUUUUUUUAUACCUUAUUUUGGAUACCUCUGGACCGCUAAACUCUCCUCAGAUUAUAAACUUAGCUAGAUGCUUUUGGAUUCGUCUCUAGAAAAGCUUCUAAUCACACUCCAAAGUUAAAAUAAUGUUUGCUUUAUAAAUAGUUUUUGUGGAAUUAUUAGUAUUGCUAUUUCCAUCUCUUUAUUGUAACAGCCAUUUCUUUGUUGAAUUCUAUAGGUUGGUGCGGGGAUUCUUGCAAUUCCUGCAGUGACACAAGAAUCCGGUUUUCUUGCCUCUGCAGUUACAUGCUUUCUUUGUUGGGUAUAUAUGGUAAAAUUCUGAGACUACAAUCAAAAUUAGUGAGCCUCAUUAUUUCAUGGUAGCCUGGAUCUUUCUACUCCUUAAAUUUUGCUUCUCUCAUUGUGUGGGAGAUAGCCUUGUAAGUGACUCAAUUUUGCUUGAGCAUCCUAAAUUGUGCAGGUUGUUACUGGGCUGCUCAUUGCUGAAGUAAAUGUGAACACUAUGUGCGAACUGGGUUCUGGCGGUGUAUCAUUGGUAGUUUCUUUUUCCUGUUGCUGAGGGCUUGAAAUUAGUGUAUGGAUUGUUAAAUAUAAGAUAUUUUGUCACUUUAUAUGAGAUACCCACAUGGUCCAAUGAACACAUGGAUUUAAUCUAGGGUUAAUUAUUAGAAUUUAAUUUACCCUUUUGUAUCUAUGUUAGGAGCCAUAGAACAUGAUCCUAUCUCACGAGAUAGAUACCCUUUCCUCUCUCUCACUCUGUCUCCCUUUUCAAUUUGUUGAUGGUUCAAUACAUUGUGUGAGAUUGACAAUUUAAAAUUGUUUAUCCCAAGAAACUUGUAUUAUACGUUACCCACCUAAUGUUUCCUGAUUACACUUUCAAGAAAUACCAAAUUUACUCACCAAGUUGUUUAAGUGAUUGAGCACUCCUUACAUGAAGGUUUCUGCCUGACAUAACCAGGAUGCACUGGUUUUCCUUAGUACAAGAGUUAGAAAAUGUGGGUGUUGAGCAUGACAUAAAGAGCAAGUGUGCUAACCGGUGCCCAUUUGAGCAAAAAACAUAUCCAUGUACACCUUCAUUCAUGCUAUUGCUUCUUUAAUCCUGUAUUUUUGGGAGAAGGUUAAACUUUAAUUGCUAUGACGAUGUAUUUUAUACUUCUAUUGUUAGUUGCUUGUGAAAAUUAGAAAAUUGAUUGUAUUCUAUUAAUGAACAUUGUCAAUUGUCCAGGCCUUUUAAAAUGGAGGGUUGUUCACUUGAAAUCCUAUCAUAGCUGAUAUAAAUUACUUGCGCCAUGGCUGAUUUCAGGUGUCAAUGGCUAUGAGAACUCUUGGGCCAGUUGGAGUUCAAAUUGCUUGGUGAGUGGAUAUUUGGUUGCAGAUUUAUUGGACUAAACAUGCACACUGAUGGAACAGUUUUGGCAGUGAAACUAGUUUUUUGUGAUUCAACGAUUUUAUAUCAGUGGUUUUCAUUUAUAUGCCAACAUUAUUUUAUGUGAGCAUCUUUCGCCUUCUAUUGAAUUUAAAUUUAAUGCAAGUGCUUGUUGGUUGAAAAUGUACUCCCCUACUAUGAUGGUAGAGCCUCCAAACAUAGUAAAGAUCGGAUGCAACAACUUUUAAUUGAUCAACGCUUGAUGUAGUGCAUCUAUUGGGUCUUUCAAUGAAGUUAACAAACCAAAGAGAUGAUGGAGCCAACAAUCCUAAAUGAUCUUGGUUAGCUUGAUAUUUCUUCCUUUUCUGAUAACACAACUUCAUCAAUGAAUAGGGCCUGAUGGUGGUGAUUAGUGCUUACAAGCUUGGCCAAAAACUAUCAAGGGACUUUGACCUAGAACCCAGGAACCAAAACAUCUGACUACUACAAUCAGCUUCAAGAUAUUUGGUUGACACAUUGGGUGUUAAGUUUAUAUCUUUCCAGGUUAGCUGAGUGCUCUUUAUGAUGGAAGUUCCGAAUUAUAGUGGUUCAUUGCUCCACUGCUUGUAUAGCUCUUUAUGGUCAUGGUUCCUUCAUGAAUUUGGUUCAAGAUGUGAUGCCCCUAGAUGUUGGUAGUCUGUUUCACUCAUACUUUGUAAUAAAAGUUCUAAAUUAUUGAAGAAGCACUGGUUUAUGAGCAAUGCAAGAAUAAAUGUUCUUUAGUCUGAGUAUUCCUCUGCACAAGAGGUUCCUUUCCUUUUUAUUGCUCCUUUUUUUCUUCUGCAGACAACUAAAUUCACUUAGAAUUUAUUGAGCAAACUGUUCUUUUUCAUUCAAAUAUUGGCAUUUGGAUCCAUUAUGGCUUGCAUGCUCUAAAUCUAUAUUGUUUUGUCAUCUAAGAACAACCCAUUUCUUCUUGCUGCAGCUGGUCAUACCUUUUCAUACAUUAUGCCCUUCUUGUUGCCUAUGUGGCUCGUUCCUCAGAUAUUUUGACAAAUUUCCUUGGCAUUCCAAUGUAUGUAUCAUAAUUCCAGUCUUUCUAUUAGAACUUUGAGAGAAUAAAUUUUGUACUUCUUGAUGCAGUUAUCAUAUUCUGUUCCUGAAAAUAUUGUGGUGAGAUAUAAUUAUACCAUACCCUUCCUAGUUGCCAGUGUGGUUUAUUUUUCAUAUUUUUUUUUUUAUCAAUCUAUCUUUUUCUUCAUGGCAGCUGGAUUGUAUUUUAAAGUAAUGUAAAGAAAUGGCAUGAUAUAUUUGUUUGGGCAGCUGACUUUGGUUACAGUUGAACCUAUUAGAAACUUUAAAUAGUUCAAGUCUGAACACCAUCAGUGGUCCAUAAAUGUCAUCUAUUUGUUACCAUUAUAAACGUCAUUUGGUUGAAGUGUUUUUUCCAUAAUCCUUGGAGUCGUUUCUUGAGAUUAUUUUUUUUAAAUAUAACUUCUAAUUUAUGCCAAUUAACUACUAUUUAAACAAAUAGAUAUAUAAUCGGCUUAUGCAAAAAUAAAAUGCUAAUAAAGUAUUUUUGUUUAAUCAAAGUGAGAUAUAAUAUAGAGUGCAUGAUAUACAUUGUGGGCCAAAUCCUAUAAGCUUAAGACUUUAGGAAAAUUGGUUGUCUAACAUGGUAUUAGAGCCUCAUUUGGCAGGAAGUCAUGUGUUCAAACCUCACUGAAUGUUUAUCUCCUUAAUUUAUUAAACCCUAAGGAGGCUACUUUAUUUCCCCCAUUUACCAAGCCCAUGUGUAAGCUCAAAGGAGGAUUACACAUGAGGGAGGGUGUUAGAGUGCAUAAUAAUACAUAUGGUCCAUAUCCUACAAGAUUAAGCUUUAAGGAAAAUCAGUUGUAUAGAAGUCCACAACAAACAAAAAAAGAAUGAAAGGAAGUGUUACAUACUUAUCAAUACCUCUAGAUUUUGAUCUAAAAUCAUCAAUGUACCAAAGAUUAUAGUGUCUUUUCUUAAUGGCAGGAUGAAUAGAUUCAAAUCAUGUAAGUGUAUCCCAUUAGCAAUAUAUUUGUGGCUUAUUCUUGCCAUAUGUGAUCAUGUAAGGCUGUUUUUCAGUGUGCUUUGAUUCUACGUGCCUAAAUGUUGAGUCAAUUUUGUUCCUUAUUGACUAGGAAUUGCAUGAAAAGGAACUUCUAUGCAUAAUACAAUAGAUUUCAUAUGUUUGUUAGGUGUUGAUGGCAGCAUUAUGAUUGCAGAUGGGAAAGUGCCACCUUGUUCUCAUUGGUUUUUGGAGGCAUAUGCUAUUUUGGAAGGUUAGGGCUGCUUUUCUAUUUCCCUCCAGUUUGUUUGGUCCUUUUAGGGGUGGGGGAUGCUCUAUUUUUGGUUUUUCUUUCUUUUUACAUCGUAAACCACUCCAUGCAGGUUAAACAAAUUAGCCUCAUUCUAGAUAUCAUUGACUAAUUAAUCCACAGAUGAUCUUUUCGCGGAAGUUAAGAUAGGAAGAUAGUCUAUUCUCGGGUACGUGUGUGGAAUUGCGUGCUUGCCUCUGUGUGGAUAAUUAAUCAAAGUUUCUAUUAUAUGGCAUAAGGGGGGGGGGGGGGGACUUAUUCUUCACUUCACUAUCCAGCAGUUAUACAGAGGAAAUUUCACAAUGCAAUAACAGAUUUAGAUUUGCUGAUCCUUCCAAAUGUACAUAGAGAUGACGAUUUUUUGUAUAACCUAUUUGGUUCUUUUUACUCAACUUUGAACUUCUAAUGUUUUCUACCCCAAACUUACUUUUGCAGCCAGAGGUUUAUUGGUGCCAUUAAUGGCGUUUUGGUAUUUGGGAUCAUCAUUUCUUUUUCCGCUCUUGUGGUAAUUCUCAUGAACUCUAUGAUUUUAAGUGUUAAUUUCUUGGAUAGUAAUUAGAAACAACCUUCACUUAUGAAUAAUAUUCUGCAUUGAGUAAUAGCUUUUGAUUGAUAAGAAAUGAUCAUUCCCUUUGACGAUGCUCUUUUAUCCUCUGAUGGAGUGCAAUCAAUGGAAUAAUAUACAAAUUUGUAAACUUGGUAAGUGUGCCCAGUUCACUGCACCACCACCCCCAAGUUUUUACCAUGCACCCUGGGAAUACUUGCUCUGAUACUAGAUGAUAAUAACAUUUUCUGAACAAUGGGAAUGGAAAAUAAAUCAGAUAAUAAUAAUUUUAGAACAUUAAAAAUUGAAAACAAGAUGAAUAAGAUGAUGUUCUGCUUCCCUUUACAUAAGACUCUACCUUUAUCAUAGAUUUUUACCAUGAGGAAGUUUAUGUUCAGGCAAGCCAGUAUCCUUAAGAAACAAAAUUGUCAUUCUCUCCUUUUAUACCAUCCUAUAAUCAUUUCUACCCACAAUUUUGUUCUUUCAUAUGGAAGAGUGGAUCGUAUAUUGCACCCUGCAACAUUGGGACAUUGGUUCCUGUCACAUAGGAUGCUGCAAUCGAGGAGAGCAGCUGUCCCUCAUAUGUGACAACCAUGGAACAAUUGGGCAUGUUUCAAAUGUAAUCUGUUACCUCAAAUCUCCUAGAAUGUUGUUUAGGAUCCUUCAAAGAUCUGAGAAAGUUCUUGGGGAACUUUUAGAACUUCCAGAAUAUCGGCUGGAUGUUUUACCUAUCCCAUUGAAAUGAACACCUGAUUCCUUCUUCCAGGUAGGGGGGUGCCCAAAAAUAGAUAUGAUUAUAAAACUUAUCAGGCUGUAUGUAUGAUUUCUUGGAGUAAAGUAUAAUAAGGUGAAUUGGCACAUGGAGUCCUUUGGAAAUCUUCUCUAUCUCUAAGCUACCGAGGAACAAUGAAGAUUAGAUUUUUUGGAGUUCGAUUCCUGAGAUUUUCUUUAAUGCAUAUUACAGUAAAGAGGGAUUAACUUCUUAUUCUUAGGCAGCCACAAGUGGAGACCUGCAGUGGGAUGCUCUUCUGAAAGCCAACUUUGAAGCCGUUCCUCUAAGCAUACCCAUAAUAGCACUUUCAUUUGUGUACCAGGUAACACCACCAACCUUCACCUAUAUGAUGUUGAAGGGGUAGUAACAUUUAAAGCCUGAUUUGUAACAGAAUGUAGUACCUGUUCUUUGUACAAAUCUUGAAGGAAACCUCUCAAAAGUAAGGUGACAAAUCUUAUCAUUACACUUUGUUUAAUACUUGGUAUAUACUCUAUAGUGUAGUAACUUCUUGCCAUCAACUUUUUUAUGAUAAUUCUAACAUUUGAAAUGAUCAAAUCCUUCUAAUUGUUCCCCAGCAUGUGAAUGGUAUAAAGAUGAUGGAUUAAAACAUUUCUCUUGCUGGAAAUGCAUAUAUAGAAUGAAUGUUAGAAGGCUUUUCUAUUAAUUUUAAGAGUUCUUGUGACUGUUUUUUCCUUGUUUCUUUAAUAGCUACUUUUUGUAAUAAUGGAUUUCUAUGUCAUUAUUUCUGUUGUUCAAACCUUAAGGAAACUGUUUUUUGGAUUGGUAGGAUGGAUUUCAUUCUGUCAUCACAUCUUAUCCAGAGCCAUGACUUCCUUUAUUUUUGAGAUGGCAGAUUCUGAAUUUGGAGAAAGUCAUUGGUUAUUUUGCUGCAGAAGACUACAUAAGAGGAAAGAUAAUUACAAGUAAACUAAAAGAGGAAAGAUGAUAAGAAGAUUCAAAUUCAAUCCACAUCUAUUCUUUAAAAUAAUGAACAUGAAGAGUGAUGAGUUUGAUGAUGUUAUAAACAAAAGCAAUCAAGAUAUAUCAGAAAAAAUUGUUGUGUUUUGCAUCAUUAAAAUGUGGUAACUGAACCCAAAGAAUAAUUGAAUCUUGAAAAUCCUUGCAAUCAGAAGCCAUAGAAUGAUGAAAUCAAUUGAGAUUCACCUCUAUGGUUUGUUAUUGAAGAAAUCAAGGCUGUAAAUUGGUCUGAAUCUCAUGUUUGCUUAGAAUCACACCAAACUCUGAAAAGGGCAGAUGCUGAAAUGAAUUGCUCAACCUCCAAUUGGGGCAAAUUUAACAGUGAGAAGCCUGAGGAAGAUGGUUAUGAUGAUGGGUAUCCCUUUAGGUGACAAGUGCUGAUGGCUCUGCCUCACCUCACCAUCCAUAAACUAACAUCAGCAGUUGCUGCAUUUCCUGCUCCUCCAAAAAGAAAGGAACCUGCUCUGGUUUUGCAUGGCUCUACCACCAAGUUGCCCAUGUCAUUAAACCCAGAAAAAGCAAAGAAGGAAAAGUGGUGCUGUAAACAGUAGAAGAGUUAUCAAUGUCCCCUUCUAAUAUUUAUGUUCAAUCAAGUGAAACUUAUAAAUAUUUUCCUAAUAGUGUCUAGGAAAAGAGGUGCCCAUUUUCUGACAGUUCAUUAUAGUUUGUGUUCUGGGUGUGAGCAUGUCCUCAGCCAAUGACUUUGGAAAUUCCUAAUCCUCUUAUUAGAGUUUCAAGUGUACACAACGUUGAAUCUGAAGGGACUGGCAUAUAACUUACAAUUAUUUAGAAUAUUCCAACUUUUAUAUGUGGAGUCAGUUGAAAAAAUUCCUUAUAAGGUGAAGGAAAGUUUCGUUAUGAUGAUGGAUGGAUAAAGAAACCUAAUAAUUAAGCUCGGUGUGUGAAAAACGGGAGGCUGAAAACUGUAUUUUGCCAUCCUUGUUGCUUUUCCACAAGCUGCCAGAGAUAGGCAGUACUAUUAUGUUCUUGCAAACUGUAAAGAGGUUUGGGGAAAUGUUGACCUAUUGUAUUUGCCUAGAAAGAAUAUAGAUGAGUGUGAACAGGAUAAUUGGUUCUUUGCUAUAUAUUUUUGGAAGCUUGGGGUAUAUUGUGGAAGAGAGUGACCAUCUUCAUGUAUCCUGUUAUUCAAUGGUUUUUCUUGCAUCUGCUAAGAACUUUAAGGAGAUGAUUGAGCAGGAUUGCUAUCUUUCAAGUUUUUCCAUGGUUACGGACAGGCAUGGGCAUCAGAGUCUUAGGAAGGAUCCAGUUCUAUUCUUAAUCAACACUUAUGCUUAACAUUCAGAGUGAGGGAACCUAUAGAAACACUAUACGUAAUGGUCACUCUAUCUGAUAAAGUUGCACAAGACAGCAGAACAUGAGUAAAAGUAAUAGAAGUGGAUAUAUGUUCUUGGGGUGGUCAUGGUAAACCAGCAAGCUGUGAACACUGUAAUUGCCCUAAGCGUAUAGGGAGGCUGGUGGUGAGCUGCAUCUAGAACUUAGACAUCCACCAUUUGCAUUGUGAUGGAAUAAACCACUUAGAAAUAAACCAACAUUUCAUCAAAGAGAAAUUUAAGUAUGGCCGUUUUGUGCCAUUUCUAUAGAGACCUAGAAUCAAAUUGCAGAUGUUAUUAAAUUAUUACCAAACGUUUAGCUAGGUCUUUCUUUCACAAGUUGCGCAAGUGUAAUGUUCAUGCACCAAUUUGAAGGGAAGUAUUGAGAGGAUAAUGUUUACAGCCUCCUCUGCCCUCUUUCCUCUCCCUUCUCAUGAUUUUCUUUUCUUUUCUACCUAACAGCUCUAAUCACCCUGUAUCUCUAGCUCUAAUCACCCCUCUCACUUCUGUUUCUUACAAUGAUGGCCCCACGUGGGCAACAUGUGCAACUAAGGGUAAUUCAAAUGAAGAACAUAUGCAAGAAUUCCUAUGACAUGAUUUGUUUCUCUGGCAGUUUUGUCAUCAGUAUUUGCACAUUGGUCCACUUAUGUACCAAAUGGUUGUACCUCUAUGACUAAUAGCAUUUUGGCCACCACAUAACCUAUUGUAUGAUUGUUUGAAGUGGCCACAGAGAUGGAGGUCAUGGUUGGGCACAGGUUGCAAUCAAAGUCUGAACUGACCUGUAUAUUUUUGUUUAUCUGGAAGCCUGUUACAGUAACCCUUUUAUUUCUAUGGCUUGUUUUUUUCUAUGAUUCAUGGGAUUUAUUUCCUUUCAUUACCGGUCUGUUUGCUCAUGUGGUAUGUCACUCUCCAGGUGAUAUUUAUAAUAUUUUGUGAGGUCUGUUUUGAAAUUUUGUACACUUAGAUAUCAUCAACCUGUCGAUUUGCAGGACAUCAAUUGUUCUAGGCACAGCUAUCCCCCUUGUUCUGUUUCUUGUUUGGAAUGCUGUUAUACUAGGAAGCAUUACAAAUAUUGGAACAGGUGCAGAUAAGAUUAUCGAUCCAAUAGAACAAUUGAGAUCUAGCAAUGGGGUUAUUGGAGUAAGUAAUGCUUAAUGUCUUUUGAUCUCAAGUGCAAGUCAUUAUUUCCUUUUAUCAGAAAAGUGCUAAAUGACGGAUUUUCCCUCUUCUAUUACUGUAUGUGGCCUUCUACAGCCAAUAGUUGAGGUCUUCUCGCUAUUUGCAAUUGCAACUUCCUAUAUUGGAUUUGUUUUGGGCCUCGCUGACUUCCUUGCUGACUGUGAGUGCCUCUUCCUACAUUUAUUAAAACUAAAAAUAACGUCAAUUUCAUAUUGAUGAUGUGAUUAGUCCUCACUUUUCAUGCUGUGCAUUACUAAUGUAUAAAUGGCUCAUUGAAUUACUAUAAAUUCAUUCACUUAUGAAGCCCAAUUUUGGAUAUGCUGGUAGCCAAGUAAUUGCCUGUAGGCUGUAUCACUCAACUUUCUGACUGAUAAUAGAGGGGUUUGCCAUAUUCGAGCUAGUAGCCCAUGCACAAACUUAGCAACAGAUUGGCUUUUGGAAUCAUCAUACUGUCCAGACCAUUAAUAUAUGAACUCUAUAUGGAGACAGCCUCACUUGGACACACGUGCACAUGUAUAUUUGGUUGUGAAUAUGUCAAGCCCUGAGAUUGCACACAUGUAUAUUUGGUAUGAUGUGUAUGCACAUUGUGAUAUUGGAAAGAUGUCUUCAGCAUUCUAGUCAAGAAGUACAUCGUCCUUAAAAAGAUGUGAUGUAUACUUGCACACCAGUGCUUUAUAACUUAUCAAGAAACAAAGAAAUUUGCGACAUUAUCAGACUUGACUUGAUAAGAGAUUGCACCAUACAUGCAUUUUUCUGCAUGUUUAGAAAAAUAUAGAAGAGAAGCAAACACAUUCACUAGUGUCUAAAUUAUUGUUAGGCUUGUAAGUGUUGAUUUGGUAGAAAUACAGUAAUAAUACACUUAUUAACUAAUGGCAUACCGGCCUCCCUUCUUGCUGUCUGUCUCACUGUUGAGAGCCAAAUUGGCUUGUUUCUCUAUCUUGGCCUUGACCUUUCUCAUUCUCAUAAAUGUUCCAGUGCUGAAACUCCCAGCUGGUCAGAGCAGUCCUUUGCCAUACCUAUUAACCUUGGUUCCACCAUUGGUAUUGUCAUUGCUCGAUCCAGAGAUAUUUUUCAAAGCCUUGGAUUUUGCUGGAACUUAUGGAGGUAUGGUGGUAUUUUGAAGUUUAAAUCUCUAUGAAUUCAAAUCGAUCUUUGUGAUUGAACAGUGUUUAGGGCUGUUGUAGAGUAGCUCUAUAAUGGAAUGAUACAGAUGUAUCGACUUGUUAUUUCUCAUUUGAAACCGGAUUCUUUUCCACAUUCAUCUAAACAUGGUGAGCUCACAUUCUGCCUAAACCGUUGCUUGGUUUCAUGGACUGCAGUUCUGGUGCUAUUUGGAAUUCUUCCAGCUGCGAUGUCAUGGUCAGAUAGAUCCUCAUCUUCAGAGCAGUCUCCAAGACUUCCAUAUCUGGUUCCAGGGGGAAAACUCACCCUUUCUCUUAUAAUUGGGGGUGCAGGAUGUGUUAUUCUUUCUGAGCUGCUUGAAAACUUUGGCCACCCCUAAUCGUCAAGAUACACAAGUCCUGUGCUGUUUAGACUCAUCAAAAGCCAUGAAAACCUUCAACCAUGGAGUUGUUGGUCUGCUAUUUGUUUAUUUGCUUUUUCUGAAUCUAAAUAUCACCCUUAUAACCUAAUAAAUUACCAACUCUUGUAUACCAUCAUUCAUGCCAAUGCAGCUUAUUAGGUGGCACGACACCCUUACAUCAUGUUUGGAAUGUUGGAAUAGAGAAUUGGAAUGGAAGUCGAUGUCAUGUCCAUUCAUUAAUGUGUUUGGAUUAUUUUUUAGAAAUGGAAAUCAAAUCUCACCCUUGCUAAGAUUUUAAUUUUAAUUCCUCUCUUCUACAUAGCAUUGUGAUUUACCACCAUUCUCAUCUACAUCCAUUCCUAUUUUACAUAUUCCAAAGCUAAUUCUUUGAACUUUUCAUUAAUUAAUUAAUAAUACUUGGAAUAUGAACAUAACAAGUAUCGUGAAUUUCAAAAUGAAUCUAAUUUAAUUUCAUCAAAAUCCAUGCAUGGAAAAAUAAAUUAAAAUAUUUAACAAAAGAAAACUUAAGGGGGUGUCAUUAAGACCACUUUUUAGUUCUAACACUAACACCUUGAGUACUUUCAUAAGAGUGAUGAUACAAGUUUCGAGGUUAUUCUUGGGAAAAUUCCUUCUUGUUUAUUUGAAUAAUAUUUUGAUAUCUAGUUGAUCUAAUGAGCAGCAUUUAAAUCAUCUUAGACAAGUUUUCCAUACCCUUAGAGUUGGGAGAUUGUACGUUAACCUUAAAAAGUGUUUGUUCAUGCAACCCUAGCAAGGUUGAAGCCAUAAGAGAUAAGCCUAAACCUAACACUUUGACUACAAACCGUAGUUUCCAUUGUUUAGCUUCUUUCUAUUGGAGAUUUAUUAUGUGAUUUAGUACCAUCACUACCCCAAUUACUAAGUGCAUGAAAAAAGGAGACUUUCAGUAGACCCUUGCAACUUAUAAAGCUUUCCUAAUGAUUAAGCAAAAAAUGAUUGAGACCUAAAUUUUGACACCUUAAUCUUUCGAAGGUUUUUGAGGUAGUCCAUCACUACCCUAAUUACUGAGUGCAUGUAAAAAAGACUUUUUCAUAAGACUGUAGUGACUUAUAAAGAUUUCCUAGUGAUUAAGCAAGACAUAAUUGAGACUCCACUUUUGCAACAUCCUAAUCUUUCUAAGGUUUUUGAGGUAGUUUAUGAUAUUAUCGAAAUAAGUAUAAGUAAUGUUUUAAGUCAAGAUGUCCAUCUUGUAGCCUACUUUAGUGAAAAACUCAAUAAGGAAAAACAAGGGUAUUCUACUAAUAAGGAGUUUUAUGUCAUGUGUGACUUCUUUGUCAUUGGCGAUACUAUUCACUACCAAAGGAAUUUAUCCUUUACUCUGAUCAUGAAGCCCUUAGAUAACUAAAUUCUCAAUGUAGGUUAAGUAAAAUUCAGGUUGAGUGGGUUUAAUUCCUCUAAGACUACACUUUCGUUAUCAAACAUCAUUUUGCAGUAGAGGAUAAGGUCAUUGAUGCUCUUGGCCAUGUUGCCAUUGUCCUCCAUUCUAUGAAUAAUAAACUAGUAAGGAUUAAGCAAAUUAAGUUACCCUUAUGCCAACUUGAUCAUCCAGGGAAGGUUAUCUUUUCAAGGGAAUUAAAUUAUGCAUUCCUCAUACUUCACUUAGAGAGUUUCUAAUUUGGGAAUUACAUGCUAGAGGUCUAGCUAGACAUUUCAAUAGGGAUAAAAUUAUUGUUCUAGUUCAAGAUAUGUUUAAUAGUGUCCUCAUGUCAUACCUAUUAGUUAAGGCUAAAAAACAAAACAUAGGCUUGUGCACUCCAUUACCUAUUCCACAUACACCUUGGUGUGAUCUUAACAUGUACCAAAGGUUAUGAUUCCAUUUUGGUAGUUGUGGAUAGAUUAUCUAAGUUAUCUGAAGUAGUUUUGUCAGAAGCAAAAGGCAAUAUCAAGGCGAUAAGACUCCUUUUAACCUAAGGUGAAAAGCAAAAAACAAGACGAUAACCUGACUAUAAAAAAUAUACACAUAUUUACCUAUUCGAUACUUAACCAAUAUAAGUGUCAUCUUCAACAAUCAACACUAUUAAUUUUUCAUCCCUCGUGUUGUCUUAUGAAAUUAACAAAAUAACAAUAAUUAUUCAAAGAAAUUAUUCAAAGUGUUAAAUAUUAUACCCCACAUUAUAAGAAAUAUCAUAUUGUUUAGAGAUAUUCAUCUUGUUUAAAUACAUAUUCUAUUUUUUAAAAACAUUUAAAAAUAAAAAUAAAAAACAAAAUAAGAGAAUGAACACCUUAGAGAAGUUUUGAGCAUCAUCAUUAUCGUCAUCACUGAAAUUAAAAUUAUCAUCACUUCUAUCAAGACUAGAUUGAUAACUCUUCAUCUCAUUAUCACUAUAAUUAAUAAUAUAAUAUUUCAUUUUAUGUUAGAUUGAAUGAAAUUGCAAUUUAAGUAGGUUUAAUCUUAACUCAUGGUCAAAGGCGACCACCUCUAUACCUUGCACCUUAUCCCAAGGCAACUGUCUAGGCAUUACCUCUUUGAAGUUGCCUUGCUUGGGUCUUCAAAAGGCAACCAUCGGAUUUGAUAAUGCUAAUAUAAAGUUCUAAGAUCAUCCGUGCUUCCUCUAUGGCAAGGUUGUUUUGAACAAAAUUAUGAGGUUACAUAGUUUAUGUAAUAACAUGAAGUUAGUGAAAGUCUAAUAUCAAUUAUUUAGUCUUUUGGAACGAGGAUUGUUAUCUCAAGAGAAGUAACUUUUGGAAUGAGUCAUAGUCAAGGAAUAGGUGUGAGAAUAGGCCUAUUUUAGAACACUUACAAUGACUAGUUGGAUGGCACAUGGCAACAACUUGAAGAUGAGUCAAUUGCUAGCUAGAAGAUAUGUCUCUUUAAUGAGUAGCCUUAAACGUGUAAGGGAGAGCACAAAAUUUUCUCAGUUUCUUUCUAAACUUACACUUGCAACUAAAGGGAAAUCAAACUAUGAAAAUUGAAAUUUGAGGAAUAAUCAAGUUGUUUAAUAAAUAGAGAAGUUGCUAUUUUAUUUUCAAAAUUUAACAGGUUAUAUAUGCUUGUAUACAUUAUUAUUAUCAUAUAUGCAUCAUUUUCAAAGUUCUUCAACUCUCUAAGCUACUCAUUCCCUUUCCCUAAGGUUAUGUUUGGUUCUCGAAAAGUAUCAAGGAAAAAAUAUUAAAGAAAAUUAUUUUCUCAUGUUUGGUUAUAAUAUAAAAUAUAGCAAAGAAAAUCAAAUAUAAUUAAAAUUAAUUAGAAAUUUAUAUAUUUUUCAAUUAUUUAAUCUUUAUGUGAAAGAUUUAAAAUAAGUGAAAUGAGUUUAAAAAGUAGUAUAUACAAAUAAUUUGUUGACUUUAAAUAUGUUUUUUUAUUUUCCUUCACUUUUUCUUUCUUUAUUUUUUUUUUCUUUCAUAUUUUCCCUUAUAAUUUUUUAGGAACCAAACAUAGUCUAAGGAAUACACACACAACAAAUAAAUAAAUAAAAACACCAUGAAAAAGAAGGAACUCAUUCACCAUCAUAUUCAAGUCAAAAUCCAAACUAUUCAAAGAAAAACUUUCCAAUAUUUAGAAUAAAUAAAUAAAUAAAAUUACUUAAGUUUCAAAUUUUCAUGUGUGUUUUCAACUAGUGUAUGCCAUUUUUGUAUGAGUACUUCACUUCUUUCAUCUUUUACCAUUUAUUCCUGACCUUAAUUCAGGCAAUUAAUACAAUAAUUUGACAAAGAAAUUUUCCCAAAGUUGACUUUCUCGAAAAUUAUUAGUAGUCAAAGUUACAUAUAUUGGUGUAUCAUGUAUUGGAUUGCAUAUCAUAUAAGCAUUGUAAGAUAAAAUUAAAGAUUCGAUACAUAAAGAUUUACUACAUGUAUUGUUGAAUCAUGUAUUGGAUCGUAUAUCAUAUACUCAUUUUUACAUUAAAAAAAAAAAAGCAAUGUAUUUGUAUAUCAUGCAAGUGUAUUAUAAGUUUUUGACAAUCAUGCCCCUAUCAUCUCAAAAUGCUAGACUGGCCCUAGGGUGACACAUCUAUAUCAGCCAUCUGGUUGAACCCAUUCCUACAAAGAAGCAAUCCAUCAACAAACUCCAAACUCUUUUUCCCUAGUUCCGUGUUCAUAAAUCUCUAGGGUGUUUUCUCCAAUUUCAAGGUGAAAUGAAAAAAGAAGCACCUCUUUAAUGGGUCUAACUUGUUGAGAUCAUCAACUAUUUCUGGGUUAGCUAAGUGCAGAAACCGGGCAAGAAGAUGUGCUGUGAUUCAUAACUUAAAACAGAAAAGAAGCCAUAAACCCAACAUAAUUCGGCAAUCAUACAAGGAACUAUCAACAUCAGCAUCAAGAAGCAAUAAGACUUCAUUUUUAAAGUAAUGAUAAAGGUGCAAUCUAACUAUAUGUGACAAAGGAGAAAGGAACUAAGGUGCACAGUACACUUACCAGGAA
This 26606-nucleotide long non-coding RNA is filed under the name Vitis vinifera (wine grape). RNAcentral describes it as "long non-coding RNA (VVIN_LNC001880)". Lineage: Eukaryota; Viridiplantae; Streptophyta; Magnoliopsida; Vitales; Vitaceae. The record is from RNAcentral.